GUCACAGAAAUUAACAAUUAUAGGUCAUCAUACGGCCUUCAACAAUGCCCAAAGUACUAACCGCAUAGUCAACUAUUAAAGGCCCCGAAAUGACAAAAUUUAUGUAAAACAAUUAAACGGUAUAACCUGCGACCGACCUAAUAAAGUACAAAAAAAGAACGAAUAAAAAAAGGUAACACAUCAACAAACGACAACCACUUAAUAAAAGGCUCCUAACUUGGGACAUUGCAUUUCUACUGACAUAAAAUGCGAUGAACAUGUACGGAAC
RNAcentral lists this long non-coding RNA (268 nucleotides) under Mytilus galloprovincialis (Mediterranean mussel). Lineage: Eukaryota; Metazoa; Mollusca; Bivalvia; Mytilida; Mytilidae. The record is from RNAcentral.